UACGUAGGGGGCUAGCGUUGUCCGGAAUCAUUGGGCGUAAAGAGCGCGUAGGCGGCCAGAUAAGUCCGGUGUGAAAGUCAAAGGCUCAACCUUUGAAUGCCGCUGGAAACUGUCUGGCUAGAGUCCGGGAGGGGCGAGUGGAAUUCCUGGUGUAGCGGUGAAAUGCGUAGAUAUCGGAAGGAACGCCGGUGGCGAAAGCGAUCGACUGGACCUCUUCCGACGCUGAGGCGCGAAAGCCAGGGGAGCAAACGGG
Molecule: ribosomal RNA, 253 nt
Filed under: uncultured bacterium
Lineage: Bacteria
Description: partial 16S ribosomal RNA
Rfam family: Bacterial small subunit ribosomal RNA
Source: RNAcentral